AAGCCAUAUCACCCUGCAACUCACGACUGGCAACCCACUGAAGCUAAGCAGGUGUGAGCCUGGUCAGUACCUGGAUGGGAGACCUCCUGGGAAAAACUAAGGUUGCUAUAAUUA
Molecule: ribosomal RNA, 114 nt
Filed under: Lepisosteus oculatus (spotted gar)
Lineage: Eukaryota; Metazoa; Chordata; Actinopteri; Semionotiformes; Lepisosteidae
Source: RNAcentral